Molecule: ribosomal RNA, 468 nt
Filed under: uncultured bacterium
Lineage: Bacteria
Description: partial 16S ribosomal RNA
Rfam family: Bacterial small subunit ribosomal RNA
Source: RNAcentral
GACGAACGCUGGCGGCGUGCUUAACACAUGCAAGUCGAACGGAAAGGCCCUGCUUUUGUGGGGUGCUCGAGUGGCGAACGGGUGAGUAACACGUGAGUAACCUGCCCUUGACUUUGGGAUAACUUCAGGAAACUGGGGCUAAUACCGGCUAGGAGCUCCUGCUGCAUGGUGGGGGUUGGAAAGUUUCGGCGGUUGGGGAUGGACUCGCGGCUUAUCAGCUUGUUGGUGGGGUAGUGGCUUACCAAGGCUUUGACGGGUAGCCGGCCUGAGAGGGUGACCGGGCACAGUGGGACUGAGAUACGGCCCAGACGCCUACGGGAGGCAGCGGUGGGGAAUAUUGCACAAUGGGCGGAAGCCGGAUGCAGCAACUCCGCGUGCGGGAUGACGGCCUUCGGGUUGGAAACCGCGUUCGCCUGGGACGAAGCGUGAGUGACGGUAAUGGGUAAAGAAGCACCGGCUAACUACGUG